RNAcentral lists this ribosomal RNA (460 nucleotides) under uncultured bacterium. Its description in RNAcentral is "partial 16S ribosomal RNA". It matches the Rfam family "Bacterial small subunit ribosomal RNA", at positions 338 to 795 of the family's 1533-position model. The record is from RNAcentral.
CCUACGGGAGGCAGCAGUGAGGAAUAUUGGUCAAUGGACGAGAGUCUGAACCAGCCAAGUAGCGUGAAGGAUGACUGCCCUAUGGGUUGUAAACUUCUUUUAUAUGGGAAUAAAACGUUCCACGUGUGGGAUUUUGUAUGUACCAUAUGAAUAAGGAUCGGCUAACUCCGUGCCAGCAGCCGCGGUAAUACGGCGGAUCCGAGCGUUAGUCGGAUUUAUUGGGUUUAAAGGGAGCGUAGGUGGAUUGUUAAGUCAGUUGUGAAAGUUUGCGGCUCAACCGUAAAAUUGCAGUUGAAACUGGCAGUCUUGAGUACAGUAGAGGUGGGCGGAAUUCGUGGUGUAGCGGUGAAAUGCUUAGAUAUCACGAAGAACUCCGAUUGCGAAGGCAGUUCACUGGACUGCAACUGACACUGAGGCUCGAAAGUGUGGGUAUCAAACAGGAUUAGAUACCCUAGUAGUC